RNAcentral lists this ribosomal RNA (1230 nucleotides) under Triticum aestivum (bread wheat). Its description in RNAcentral is "partial small subunit ribosomal RNA". The record is from RNAcentral. Lineage: Eukaryota; Viridiplantae; Streptophyta; Magnoliopsida; Poales; Poaceae.
AUGGCAAUCGAGGCGUGUCCCGACCGGUACGACGCCGUCGAGGAGGGGGAGGCGUCUCCUGGCCUUGAACCAGAGGAGGGGGAGGCGUCUCCUGACCUUCAACCAGAGGAGGAGGAGGAGGAGGAGGAGGAGGAAGAAGAUGGGAGGCGGGCCAAGCGGGCGCCUUCGGACCUCAAUGCCGGGGAGGAGGGGGAGCAGGGGAGGGCGGAGAUGGCAAUCGAGGCGUCUCCCGACCAAGAGGGGGAGGCGUCCCCUGGCCUUGAACAAGAGGAGGAGGACGCGUCUCCUGGCCUUGAACCAGAGGAGGAGGAAGAGGAAGAGGAAGAGGAGGAGGAGACCAUCCUGGGGGCCUACCCAAGCCAUCGCCAUGGGGAGACGACGGAGAAGGCACCGAGCAGCUGCCGGACGCCGGACCCCGCAGGCGGCGCGGGGGAGGCGGUGAGGUGGAACCUCGCGGCGGCGCGCGCGGACAGGGACGCCUCGCUGCUGGCGGACAUGCUGUACUGGGGCAACAAGAGGAGCCUGCGCGCCCGGCGGCAGUUCCUCCCGGCGCUCCUGUGCGCCGCGGAGCCCCACGCGCUGGUCGUCGGCGCCGUCAGGGACUUCCUGGCCAGGGCCGAGCCCAAGAGCGACAAGAACUGGGAGAACUGCGCCUCGCUCCUCUGCUGCGUCCCCAGCCUCAGGGCCGAGCCGUCGGCAGCCACGCUGGAGCGGGCCAGACGGCUGGCGGAGGACUGGAGGGAGAUGAUCACCGGCAGGCCUGAAAGCUGCAGGGACCUCGGCCGGCUCGCCGUAUGGGGCCUUCUGCAGUUUCUUGCCUCGUACAAAAUUGCCUUGGAGCUGGACGCUGAUGGGAUCAACCAUCUCCUCGCCGACGUCCCGCGCAACAAGAAGCAGAGCUGCAUCGAGCUCCGCAAUGGCCUUGGGCUGAUCCACUCCAUGGCUGACUCGGCCGACCAUCUGAUUGAGAAUGGGCAGCCAGUUGAUGCUAUCAGCCAUCUGAUUGAGAAUGGGAAGCUACUUGAUGCUAUCAAACUGGCGUGUGAUUUGAAUCUGACCGACAAAUAUCCUCCACUUUCCCUCAUGAAUGAUUAUGUUGAGAAGGCUAAGAAGACUGCUCAGGAGAUAUUGAGUAGGGAAGGCGAUUCACCGGACUCUCUGGUUUGUCCUUCGCAUAUCUUCCUCAAUAAGAAUAUCUUGUGUUGCAUGAGAGUGAUUUUUCAAAUUUGA